This is a non-coding RNA of Mycena olivaceomarginata, 84 nucleotides long. Lineage: Eukaryota; Fungi; Basidiomycota; Agaricomycetes; Agaricales; Mycenaceae. The record is from the annotation of a GenBank genome assembly.
UCCCUCUUGGUGUAGUGGUUAACACCUUUAUCUUCUGCUAGUAAAAAAGUCAGGAGGUCUGGUGUUCAAAUCCCAUUGGUGGAU